GACGAACGCUGGCGGCGUGCCUAAUACAUGCAAGUAGAACGCACAGUUUAUACCGUAGCUUGCUACACCAUAGACUGUGAGUUGCGAACGGGUGAGUAACGCGUAGGUAACCUGCCUGGUAGCGGGGGAUAACUAUUGGAAACGAUAGCUAAUACCGCAUAAUAUUAAUUAUUGCAUGAUAAUUAAUUGAAAGGUGCAAUUGCACCACUACCAGAUGGGCCUGCGUUGUAUUAGCUAGUAGGUGAGGUAACGGCUCACCUAGGCGACGAUACAUAGCCGACCUGAGAGGUGGGUCGGCCACCCUGGGACGGAGACCCGGCCCAGACUCCUACGGGAGGCAGCAGGAGGGAAUCUUCGGCAAUGGACGAAAGUCUUACCGAGCAACGCCGCGUGAGUGAAGAAGGUUUUCGGAUCGUAAAGCUCUGUUGUAAGAGAAGAACGGGUGUGAGAGUGGAAAGUUCACACUGUGACGGUAUCUUACCAGAAAGGGACGGCUAACUACGUG
This 505-nucleotide ribosomal RNA is filed under the name uncultured bacterium. RNAcentral describes it as "partial 16S ribosomal RNA". It matches the Rfam family "Bacterial small subunit ribosomal RNA", at positions 28 to 507 of the family's 1533-position model. The record is from RNAcentral.